This 373-nucleotide ribosomal RNA is filed under the name uncultured bacterium. RNAcentral describes it as "bacterial SSU rRNA". It matches the Rfam family "Bacterial small subunit ribosomal RNA", at positions 524 to 898 of the family's 1533-position model. The record is from RNAcentral.
UACGGAGGGUGCGAGCGUUGUCCGGAUUUAUUGGGUUUAAAGGGUGCGUAGGCGGCCGUAUAAGUCAGGGGUGAAAGUCUUCUGCUCAACAGAAGAACUGCCUUUGAUACUGUAUGGCUUGAGUGCCGUCUGGGUACAUGGAAUUUAUGGUGUAGCGGUGAAAUGCAUAGAUACCAUAAGGAACACCGAUAGCGAAGGCAUUGUACUGGGCGGCAACUGACGCUGAGGCACGAAAGCGUGGGUAGCGAACAGGAUUAGAUACCCUGGUAGUCCACGCCGUAAACGAUGAUCACUCGCUGUUAUGCUGUUAUGGUGUAGCGGCUUAGCGAAAGCGUUAAGUGAUCCACCUGGGGAGUACGCCGGCAACGGUGAA